CUUGUUUAUAUCUCCCCCGAACCCUG
Molecule: non-coding RNA, 26 nt
Filed under: Mus musculus (house mouse)
Lineage: Eukaryota; Metazoa; Chordata; Mammalia; Rodentia; Muridae
Source: RNAcentral